RNAcentral lists this ribosomal RNA (484 nucleotides) under uncultured bacterium. RNAcentral describes it as "partial 16S ribosomal RNA". It matches the Rfam family "Bacterial small subunit ribosomal RNA", at positions 30 to 507 of the family's 1533-position model. The record is from RNAcentral.
AUUGAACGCUGGCGGCAGGCCUAACACAUGCAAGUCGAGCGGAUGAAGGGAGCUUGCUCCUGGAUUCAGCGGCGGUCGGGUGAGUAAUGCCUAGGAAUCUGCCUGGUAGUGGGGGAUAACGUCCGGAAACGGGCGCUAAUACCGCAUACGUCCUGAGGGAGAAAGUGGGGGAUCUUCGGACCUCACGCUAUCAGAUGAGCCUAGGUCGGAUUAGCUAGUUGGUGGGGUAAAGGCCUACCAAGGCGACGAUCCGUAACUGGUCUGAGAGGAUGAUCAGUCACACUGGCACUGAGACACGGUCCAGACUCCUACGGGAGGCAGCAGUGGGGAAUAUUGGACGAUGGGCGAAAGCCUGAUCCAGCCAUGCCGCGUGUGUGAAGAAGGUCUUCGGAUUGUAAAGCACUUUAAGUUGGGAGGAAGGGCAGUAAGUUAAUACCUUGCUGUUUUGACGUUACCAACAGAAUAAGCACCGGCUAACUUCGUG